Long non-coding RNA from Phyllopteryx taeniolatus (common seadragon), 2622 nucleotides. RefSeq lists it as uncharacterized. The record is from RefSeq and is a predicted model, not a curated record. The transcript has 2 exons. Lineage: Eukaryota; Metazoa; Chordata; Actinopteri; Syngnathiformes; Syngnathidae.
GUUGAGGUCACAAAGGUGGUUAAAAAGCUCCUCAGUGACAAGGCCCCGGGGGUGGAUGAGAUUCUCCUGGAGUUCCGAAAGGCUCUGAGUGUUGUGGGGCUGUUCGUCCAACAAGUCUACAUGUGUUUUGUGGACUUGGAGAAGGCGUUCGACAGUGUCCCUCGGGGAGUCCUGUGAGGGGUGCUUCGGGAGUAUGGGGUACCGAACUCCUGAUACGGGCUAUUCAGCCCGUGUACGACCAGUGACAGAGUUUGGUCCGCAUUGGUGGCAGGAAGUUGGACUUGUUUCCGGUGAGGGUUGGACUCCGCCAAGGCUGCCCUUUGUCACCGAUUCUGUUCAUAACUUUUAUGGACAGAAUUUCUAGGCGCAGCCGAGGCAUAGAGGGGUUCCGGUUUGGUGGCCUCAGAAUUGCAUCUCUGCUAUUUGCAGAUGAUGUGGUUCUGUUGGCUUCAUCAAGCCGUGAUCUCCAACUCUCACUGGAGCGGUUCGCAGCUGACUGUGAAGUGGCUGGGAUGAAAAUUAGCACAUCCAAAUCUGAGACCAUGGUCCUCAGUCGGAAAAGGGUGGCGUGCCUCUCCAGGUCGGGGAUGAGAUCCUGCCCCAAGUGGAGGAGUUCAAGUAUCUUGGGGUCUUGUACACGAGUGAGGGAAGAAUGGAACGGGAGAUCAACAGGCGGAUCGGUGCAGCGUCUGCAGUGUUGCGGACUUUGUAUCGGUCCGUUGUGGUGAAGAAGGAGCUAAGCCGAAAGGUGAAGCUCUGAAUUUACUGUUCAAUCUACGUUCCUACCCUCACCUAUGGUCACAAGCUGUGGGUCAUGACCGAAAGAACAAGAGCCCAGAUACAAGCAGCCGAAGUGAGUUUCCUCCGCAGGGUGUCCGGGGUCUGCCUUAGAGAUGAGGGUGAGAAGCUCGGUCAUCCGCGAGGGGCGCAGAUUAGAGCCGCUGCUCCUCCACAUUGAGAGGAGCCAGAUGAGAUGGCUCGGGCAUCUGGUUAGGAUGCCUCCCGGACGUCUUCCUGGUGAGGUGUUCCAUGCACGUCCCACUGGGAGGAGACACCAGGGACGCCCCAGGACACGAUGGAAGGACUAUGUCUCGCGGCUGGCCUGGGAACGCCUCGGGAUCCCCCCGGAAGAGCUGAAUGAAGUGGCUGGGGAAAGCGAAGUCUGGGCUUCGCUGCUAAAGGUACUUCCCCGCAACCCGACCUCAGAUUAGCAGAAGAAAAUGGAUGGAUGGAUGGAUGGAUGGAGUCAAGUCACGGAACUAAUUAAACUCCUAAGUCACGACACUACGUUAUAGUGUUCCCGUGCUAUUUUUUAUAUAUUAUUAAUUGGCACUCCCCCAUAAAGGGUAAUACUUGCCUAUACGUGCCACAAGAUGGUGGCAAAGCUCCUCAACAUAAAUCCUUGGAACCAAGAUGGUGUGAAAGCAAUACUUUAAUUGCAGUGGUAUACUUUAGUUUAUAUUACAUGGGCCAGCACAGCAGUACUGGUUCUCAAGGCCUUGGGCAGAUUAGAUUCACAUGGCAACCCAUUGAGGCUGAAAUAUAACUGGACAGAAAAAAAAAUCUAACAUCCACGUACAAGUACUGGAAGCAGUUAAACCAAGAGAAAUGCUACAAAAUGAAGGGAAUACACUUUGGAAUAGAAUUUAAAAAAAUAGAAUUUAGGUUGUAAAUGUAGGCCAUAACCAUUGCUGUAAAUACAAUUUGGAGUAAUCACUUUUGUGUACUUUUUUCUUUGUUUGGUGUGACUUUUAAGAAAGAGCAGGAUGGAAGGAUGGAGCGGGGGUGUUGUUGGUUGAAAUGGGUAAUAAGAAAAAGUGCCAGCAGCACAAAAUGUCUGUGGUAAUCCGGUUAUCCCCAGGCUCUAAAGAUACUGUCCCUCUCCUUGGGAAGUCUAUCUUUUCUUCUUAUGUCAAAACUGUCUUCCAUGCACUCAGGUGGAAUAGCGAUUUAUGGUGGAGAAAGAAAUGGACAGGUACACAAAGAGGCAAAAAAUGACAGAUGACACAGAGAAGCAGAGUCUGAAUGAGAAGGGUGUCAGCGUUUGACCUGAAAAGAUCAACUAGAAAGAUGAAGAACUGCUGAAUUACUUUUAUUGUAUUGGACUUAUUGACCAUGUUUUUUAUUAUUGUUGACAAUGGACAUUUGUGCUAUGAUCAAAUGAGUGCUAAUUCAGAUUCACUCGCAAGUUCUCUUGAAAAAAAUUAAUCCCAAAUUAUCAUUUUUGAAUGAAAACGAAUCAAACUACAUAUUUUAUUCUGACAAGAGCUGCAAUGCUGAAAAUUUCCUUUGUUUCCAUCCGCCGCCAUUAUUAGCCAAUCACAUGGAUCACAGAGCCGUUCUCCCCUCCGAGACGAUAAUCCCCGCAGAGCCAUCUGAUGACCGUGGGCCUGUGAGGAGCUGCACCGAUGUUCAUGACAGAUUGCGACUGCGGCAGAUAAAUCGGAUAAAGCAAUCUAUUGUCGAUGAUACUGACCGGGAUCCAACUGAUAAAACUGAAUGAAAGAUGAUGACAUUAUCUCAGUUGUAGAUACAACUGUCAUUAUAUCUCAUCUAAAUGAAAAUUUAAAUCAUUAUAUUUGGUAAAAUGUAAUUGUCACGAUAUAAAAAAACAAAAAACAA